RNAcentral lists this ribosomal RNA (498 nucleotides) under uncultured bacterium. Its description in RNAcentral is "partial 16S ribosomal RNA". It matches the Rfam family "Bacterial small subunit ribosomal RNA", at positions 29 to 523 of the family's 1533-position model. The record is from RNAcentral.
AUUGAACGCUGGCGGCAUGCCUUACACAUGCAAGUCGAACGGUAACGCGGGGCAACCUGGCGACGAGUGGCGAACGGGUGAGUAAUGCAUCGGAACGUGCCCAGUUGUGGGGGAUAACUGCUCGAAAGAGCAGCUAAUACCGCAUACGACCUGAGGGUGAAAGCGGGGGAUCGCAAGACCUCGCGCAAUUGGAGCGGCCGAUGUCGGAUUAGCUAGUUGGUGGGGUAAAGGCCCACCAAGGCGACGAUCCGUAGCUGGUCUGAGAGGACGACCAGCCACACUGGGACUGAGACACGGCCCAGACUCCUACGGGAGGCAGCAGUGGGGAAUUUUGGACAAUGGACGCAAGUCUGAUCCAGCCAUGCCGCGUGCGGGAAGAAGGCCUUCGGGUUGUAAACCGCUUUUGUCAGGGAAGAAAUCUUCUGAGUUAAUACCUCGGGAGGAUGACGGUACCUGAAGAAUAAGCACCGGCUAACUACGUGCCAGCAGCCGCCGUAA